UUCUACACUGACAGGAGCAAAAGCAUCAAGCUCCAUUUCCACAGAGCAAGGCACAAGAAAAAGGAGGGUGUAGUGUAUUUUUCAGACAUCAGUCUGGUUUUAAUAGAGUCCAGAAACAUUUCUUCCAGGUAGAUGCCCAAAUUUUUCUUUGCUUCUUUGUGGCUGAUUGUUAUGCCUGCAAAAAUGAACUGUGAAUGGAUGUACCUUGUAUAAUCAGCCACUUGGAUCUUCCUGCUUCAGGAAGUUACUUGUUAUAAGCUGGGGGCCUUGCAGAGCACUG
RNAcentral lists this long non-coding RNA (280 nucleotides) under Dromaius novaehollandiae (emu). Its description in RNAcentral is "lncRNA (ENSDNVG00000014314.1)". Lineage: Eukaryota; Metazoa; Chordata; Aves; Casuariiformes; Dromaiidae. The record is from RNAcentral.